This 804-nucleotide ribosomal RNA is filed under the name uncultured bacterium. RNAcentral's name for it is "bacterial SSU rRNA". It matches the Rfam family "Bacterial small subunit ribosomal RNA", at positions 8 to 796 of the family's 1533-position model. The record is from RNAcentral.
AGAGUUUGAUCCUGGCUCAGGAUGAACGCUGGCGGCGUGCUUAAUACAUGCAAGUCGAACGAAUGGAUGUCUAGCUUGCUAGACUGAAGUUAGUGGCGAACGGGUGAGUAAUACAUAGGCAAUCUGCCCUGAAGUGUGGGAUAGCUAUUGGAAACGAUAAUUAAUACCGCAUAGGUAGUAAGAAGGCAUCUUCCUACUAUUAAAGAUGCGUUUGCAUCGCUGCAGGAUGAGCUUAUGGUGUAUUAGCUAGUUGGUGAGAUAAAAGCCCACCAAGGCUAUGAUACAUAGCUGGUCUGAGAGGAUGAACAGCCACAUUGGGACUGAGACACGGCCCAGACUCCUACGGGAGGCAGCAGUAAGGAAUUUUCGGCAAUGGGGGCAACCCUGACCGAGCAACGCCGCGUGAGUGAUGAAGGUCUUCGGAUCGUAAAACUCUGUUGUAAAGGAAGAAUGUCAUAUAUAGGAAAUGAUAUAUGAGUGACGGUACUUUACUAGAAAGUCACGGCUUACUACGUGCCAGCAGCCGCGGUAAUACGUAGGUGGCAAGCGUUAUCCGGAUUUAUUGGGCGUAAAGGGUGCGCAGGCGGUCUGUUAAGUUUGGUGUGAAAGCGUGGGGCUCAACCCCAUACAGCAUCGAAUACUGGCAGACUAGAGUGCAGAAGAGGGUAAUGGAACUCCAUGUGUAGCGGUAAAAUGCGUAGAUAUAUGGAAGAACACCAGCGGCGAAGGCGGUUACCUGGUCUGUAACUGACGCUCAGGCACGAAAGCGUGGGGAGCAAAUAGGCUUAGAUACCCUAGUAGUCC